Molecule: long non-coding RNA, 1693 nt
Filed under: Prunus persica (peach)
Lineage: Eukaryota; Viridiplantae; Streptophyta; Magnoliopsida; Rosales; Rosaceae
Description: long non-coding RNA (PPER_LNC000287)
Source: RNAcentral
GGAUGACAUUUUGGGCAUUGGUAAGAACUGAAUUUCAUAUGGGAAGAGAAGAGAUUGUGAGGUUGGAACCAAGGGUUUUAUUGUUCACAUAGACUUCGGAAGAAAUGUGAGCGUGUUGAGAUGCUGAAAAUAAAAAUGAAAAAAAAUGGGAGAUCACGUUAACUCAAGUUAGUUCAAUUAGGGAUUUUUUUUUUUUUCCUUUCUAAAUAAAAAUUGUGAGGUUUUUGGGUUGGGUGCUGCUAUUUCCACCCACCUGUCCUAUUUUCCCACCACCUUAUCUUCCCACUCACCAUGUAAAUUUGAAAAAACACAAUCCUAUCUUUCCCCCCACCAUUAUUCUUAAAAUACCCUUUAAUUAUUAAUUCAAGCAAAUUUUUUCUGUUAACUUGUGAGUCAUUUAAAUUUAAUCUAAUGACUGAAAAGAGCAAUUGUUUGCUCUAAUUGGAGAGAUUGACGACGAAAACAAAACCAAUAGAACUUGUUUUCAACAUGAGCAUCUGAUUACAUAUUGGGAUUUGCUCCGAGGGAGGAGAAGACUUUUGCCAUGUCGAUCAUUGGGAUUUGUUGGCCUCCUACAAAUGGGAAGACUACAUGAUGACUGGAGCAUAUAAUGAAGAAUCCAUGAUUUUGGCUCAAAACUUUUGGGGUUAUGGUUUUAGGAUGGAGAUAAGAUAAGAGGUUGAUGGGUGCUUUGGAUUUGACGUUUGAUCUUUGUGCUUUGGAUUUUUUUUUUUUCAACUUUUUUAAAUUUUAAGUUCGGGGCAAUUGGUUUGUUUUUUUAAUCAUUUUUCAUAAGUCCUUAAAAGUCAUUUUAUGAAGGGAUAAAUUUGUUUUUAAAAUUUUGAAGAUAAGGUGGGUGGAAAAAUAGAACAGUUUGGUGGAAAUAGCAGCACUCUUUGGGUUUUGUAUGUGAUGUGUCUAUAUGAAAGCCCUAGAAUGAAAUUUUAAUGAGAUGGCAUGUGUAGAAGAAAACUCAAACAGAUAAUGGUAGAGAUAAUCCAAGCAGAGGAUCCAGAUCCCUUUGGCAACUCUCAUCAGUCUCUCUCGAAUGAAAUUUCAUAAGUGUAAAUCUACUUGACCCAAGAAAUCAAACCUUCUAUCUUCCCUCCUUACCCUGAAAGGAGGUAUUCCUACUUCCUACAAAUCAAAGUUUGACACAUAUGCAAAAAUUAUUCAUCAAAAACAUAACAAGAAGAAUCUCAGUACACAUAUCAAACUGUGAUUAGCAAGAAAGUAGGAAUUCCUACUUCUAGAAAAGGAGGCAAGUAGUUUUCUUUCCAUUUUCUGAAUUUUAAAUUUUAUUUUUCAUCUUCUAAAUAGUAACCAAAAGACCAAACGAGUUUGGUCUCUUCUUCCCCGCUUGACUCCCUUUCUUCGAGUUACGCAUCAAUGCUAUAGUGAAACCAAAGGUGGAAACAUGAGUUUUCACUAUGUUGGGAUAUAAAUUUUUGCCUCUAUUAUGGAGAGUAUUUUUGCCCACUCUCCUUUCUUUGGGCUAGACAUCUUUUAUUUAUUUAUUUAUUUUUAUGCGAUUCAAGGUAGAAAGAAACAAUAAUUUUCACUAUGUGGGGAUGUAAUUUUUUUUUUCUUUUUUCAUUUGGGUAUAUUAUGACGAGCAUUUUCAGAGUCCGGACUAAUGUUCCCUAAUUCGUGUCCCCACCAUUUCCAUUAUAUAAAAUUUUGACAUGUGUCC